CAGUAGCCGCGGUAAUACGAAGGGGGCUAGCGUUGUUCGGAUUUACUGGGCGUAAAGGGUGCGUAGGCGGACUGAUAAGUCAGGGGUGAAAUCCCAAGGCUCAACCUUGGAACUGCCUUUGAUACUGUUAGUCUUGAGUUCGAGAGAGGUGAGUGGAACUGCGAGUGUAGAGGUGAAAUUCGUAGAUAUUCGCAAGAACACCAGUGGCGAAGGCGGCUCACUGGCUCGAAACUGACGCUGAGGCACGAAAGCGUGGGGAGCAAACAGGAUUAGAUACCCGAGUAGUCCCUGUCUCUUAUAC
This 301-nucleotide ribosomal RNA is filed under the name uncultured bacterium. RNAcentral describes it as "partial 16S ribosomal RNA". It matches the Rfam family "Bacterial small subunit ribosomal RNA", at positions 509 to 807 of the family's 1533-position model. The record is from RNAcentral.